GAUGAACGCUGGCGGCGUGCCUAAUACAUGCAAGUCGAGCGAAAAGACGAGGAGCUUGCUCCUCUGACGUUAGCGGCGGACGGGUGAGUAACACGUGGAUAACCUACCUAUAAGACUGGGAUAACUUCGGGAAACCGGAGCUAAUACCGGAUAAUAUAUUGAACCGCAAGGUUCAAUAGUGAAAGACGGCUUUGCUGUCACUUAUAGAUGGAUCCGCGCCGCAUUAGCUAGUUGGUAAGGUAACGGCUUACCAAGGCAACGAUGCGUAGCCGAUCUGAGAGGGUGAUCGGCCACACUGGAACUGAGACACGGUCCAGACUCCUACGGGAGGCAGCAGUAGGGAAUCUUGCGCAAUGGGCGAAAGCCUGACGGAGCAACGCCGCGUGAGUGAUGAAGGUCUUCGGAUCGUAAAACUCUGUUAUUAGGGAAGAACAAAUGUGUAAGUAACUAUGCACGUCUUGACGGUACCUAAUCAGAAAGCCACGGCUAACUACGUG
Molecule: ribosomal RNA, 497 nt
Filed under: uncultured bacterium
Lineage: Bacteria
Description: partial 16S ribosomal RNA
Rfam family: Bacterial small subunit ribosomal RNA
Source: RNAcentral